UGCCGCUGCUGGUCAGGGUCGAUGUUCACCCACACACUUCCUGUCCAUUUGAAGCCCCGAGUGACUAAGCAGUCGCCGUGCAGAGAGAAUUCAUCCAGCUCUCCAACCCAACCUGACGGAAAUAUGUGAAGAACAACAAUGUCACAAAUACAGGAAAUGGAGGCAUGUGAAAAAGAGAAACUCACCAUUUCCAUCGGAGAGGUGGUUGUACCACAGCAGAGCGGUUCCAGCUACAGGUUUGACCUUCAGAUUGCCUUUAUCACAGUACUGCUGAGAGAGAUCACCUAAGACCUGCAACACACACACACACACACACAC
This is a long non-coding RNA of Cyprinus carpio (common carp), 318 nucleotides long. RefSeq lists it as uncharacterized. NCBI's taxonomy places the organism in Eukaryota, Metazoa, Chordata, Actinopteri, Cypriniformes, Cyprinidae. The record is from RefSeq and is a predicted model, not a curated record.